GCGAAGGCGGUUUACUAGCUCGAUACUGACGCUCAGUCACGAAAGCGUGGGUAGCAAAUAGGAUUAGAUACCCUAGUAGUCCACGCUGUAAACGAUGAGAACUAAAUAUUGCCGCGAGGCAGUGUUGAAGCUAACGCAUUAAGUUCUCCGCCUGGGGAGUACGCUCGCAAGAGUGAAACUUAAAGGAAUUGACGGGGACCCGCACAAGCAGUGGAGCAUGUGGUUUAAUUCGACGCUACGCGAAGAACCUUACCAGGGCUUGACAUGGAGAUAAAAAUCUUAGAAAUAAGACAAUAGUUAUAUCUCACACAGGUGGUGCAUGGUUGUCGUCAGCUCGUGUCGUGAGAUGUUGGGUUAAGUCCCGCAACGAGCGCAACCCUCGUCUUUAGUUGCCAGCACAUUAUGGUGGGAACUCUAGAGAGACUGCCGAUGUAAAUCGGAGGAAGGUGGGGAUGACGUCAAAUCAUCAUGCUCUUUAUGUCCUGGGCGACACACGUGCUACAAUGGCCGGUACAAAGAGACGCAAUGCCGCGAGGCGGAGCAAAUCCCAUAAAGCCGGUCUCAGUUCGGAUUGGAGUCUGCAACUCGACUCCAUGAAGCU
This 601-nucleotide ribosomal RNA is filed under the name uncultured bacterium. RNAcentral describes it as "bacterial SSU rRNA". It matches the Rfam family "Bacterial small subunit ribosomal RNA", at positions 715 to 1327 of the family's 1533-position model. The record is from RNAcentral.